AGCGUAGACGGUAGUACAAGUCUGAAGUGAAAUGCGGGGGCUCAACCCCUGAACUGCUUUGGAAACUGUAUUACUAGAGUGCAGGAGAGGUAAGUGGAAUUCCUAGUGUAGCGGUGAAAUGCGUAGAUAUUAGGAGGAACACCAGUGGCGAAGGCGGCUUACUGGACUGUAACUGACGUUGAGGCUCGAAGGCGUGGGGAGCAAACA
RNAcentral lists this ribosomal RNA (207 nucleotides) under uncultured bacterium. Its description in RNAcentral is "partial 16S ribosomal RNA". It matches the Rfam family "Bacterial small subunit ribosomal RNA", at positions 568 to 774 of the family's 1533-position model. The record is from RNAcentral.